This 163-nucleotide ribosomal RNA is filed under the name uncultured bacterium. RNAcentral describes it as "partial 16S ribosomal RNA". It matches the Rfam family "Bacterial small subunit ribosomal RNA", at positions 355 to 511 of the family's 1533-position model. The record is from RNAcentral.
UAGGGAAUCUUCCACAAUGGGCGCAAGCCUGAUGGAGCAACACCGCGUGAGUGAAGAAGGGUUUCGGCUCGUAAAGCUCUGUUGUUAAAGAAGAACGUGGGUAAGAGUAACUGUUUACCCAGUGACGGUAUUUAACCAGAAGCCNCGGCUAACUACGUGCCAG